This is a small nucleolar RNA of Alligator mississippiensis (American alligator), 140 nucleotides long. It matches the Rfam family "Small nucleolar RNA SNORA70". From Rfam's summary of the family: snoRNA U70 seems to be exclusive to mammals and is a member of the H/ACA class of snoRNA which contain H (ANANNA) and ACA box motifs. H/ACA box snoRNAs are involved in the conversion of uridines to pseudouridines (5-ribosyluracil) a constituent of structural RNAs (transfer, ribosomal, small nuclear, and small nucleolar). The record is from Rfam. Lineage: Eukaryota; Metazoa; Chordata; Crocodylia; Alligatoridae.
CUGCAGCCAAUUAAGCCGACCGGCCCCUCUCCCCUGUGGGGGCCCGGUGUGCACUGGUUGCAGACAGCAAAGCUCCCCGUGGUGGUGUAUGUGUCCUGCCUCCCUACAGCAGGGUGCUUGAAGGGACUGCGGAGACAUGG